This 1280-nucleotide ribosomal RNA is filed under the name Escherichia coli O119:H6. RNAcentral describes it as "bacterial LSU rRNA". It matches the Rfam family "Bacterial large subunit ribosomal RNA", at positions 1668 to 2925 of the family's 2925-position model. Lineage: Bacteria; Pseudomonadati; Pseudomonadota; Gammaproteobacteria; Enterobacterales; Enterobacteriaceae. The record is from RNAcentral.
CAGGUAGAGAAUACCAAGGCGCUUGAGAGAACUCGGGUGAAGGAACUAGGCAAAAUGGUGCCGUAACUUCGGGAGAAGGCACGCUGAUAUGUAGGUGAAGCGACUUGCUCGUGGAGCUGAAAUCAGUCGAAGAUACCAGCUGGCUGCAACUGUUUAUUAAAAACACAGCACUGUGCAAACACGAAAGUGGACGUAUACGGUGUGACGCCUGCCCGGUGCCGGAAGGUUAAUUGAUGGGGUUAGCGGUAACGCGAAGCUCUUGAUCGAAGCCCCGGUAAACGGCGGCCGUAACUAUAACGGUCCUAAGGUAGCGAAAUUCCUUGUCGGGUAAGUUCCGACCUGCACGAAUGGCGUAAUGAUGGCCAGGCUGUCUCCACCCGAGACUCAGUGAAAUUGAACUCGCUGUGAAGAUGCAGUGUACCCGCGGCAAGACGGAAAGACCCCGUGAACCUUUACUAUAGCUUGACACUGAACAUUGAGCCUUGAUGUGUAGGAUAGGUGGGAGGCUUUGAAGUGUGGACGCCAGUCUGCAUGGAGCCGACCUUGAAAUACCACCCUUUAAUGUUUGAUGUUCUAACGUUGGCCCGUAAUCCGGGUUGCGGACAGUGUCUGGUGGGUAGUUUGACUGGGGCGGUCUCCUCCUAAAGAGUAACGGAGGAGCACGAAGGUUGGCUAAUCCUGGUCGGACAUCAGGAGGUUAGUGCAAUGGCAUAAGCCAGCUUGACUGCGAGCGUGACGGCGCGAGCAGGUGCGAAAGCAGGUCAUAGUGAUCCGGUGGUUCUGAAUGGAAGGGCCAUCGCUCAACGGAUAAAAGGUACUCCGGGGAUAACAGGCUGAUACCGCCCAAGAGUUCAUAUCGACGGCGGUGUUUGGCACCUCGAUGUCGGCUCAUCACAUCCUGGGGCUGAAGUAGGUCCCAAGGGUAUGGCUGUUCGCCAUUUAAAGUGGUACGCGAGCUGGGUUUAGAACGUCGUGAGACAGUUCGGUCCCUAUCUGCCGUGGGCGCUGGAGAACUGAGGGGGGCUGCUCCUAGUACGAGAGGACCGGAGUGGACGCAUCACUGGUGUUCGGGUUGUCAUGCCAAUGGCACUGCCCGGUAGCUAAAUGCGGAAGAGAUAAGUGCUGAAAGCAUCUAAGCACGAAACUUGCCCCGAGAUGAGUUCUCCCUGAGACUUUAAGUCUCCUGAAGGAACGUUGAAGACGACGACGUUGAUAGGCCGGGUGUGUAAGCGCAGCGAUGCGUUGAGCUAACCGGUACUAAUGAACCGUGAGGCUUAACC